UGGGGAAUUUUUGACAAUGGGGGAAACCCUGAUCCACCCAUCCCGCGUGUGCGAUGAAGGCCUUCGGGUUGUAAAGCACUUUUGGCAGGAAAGAAACGUCAUGGGUUAAUACCCCGUGAAACUGACGGUACCUGCAGAAUAAGCACCGGCUAACUACGUGCCAGCAGCCGCGGUAAUACGUAGGGUGCAAGCGUUAAUCGGAAUUACUGGGCGUAAAGCGUGCGCAGGCGGUUCGGAAAGAAAGAUGUGAAAUCCCAGAGCUCAACUUUGGAACUGCAUUUUUAACUACCGGGCUAGAGUGUGUCAGAGGGAGGGGGAAUUCCGCGUGUAGCAGUGAAAUGCGUAGAUAUGCGGAGGAACACCGAUGGCGAAGGCAGCCUCCUGGGAUAACACUGACGCUCAUGCACGAAAGCGUGGGGAGAAAACAGG
RNAcentral lists this ribosomal RNA (429 nucleotides) under Acidobacteriota bacterium. RNAcentral's name for it is "Acidobacteria bacterium partial 16S ribosomal RNA". It matches the Rfam family "Bacterial small subunit ribosomal RNA", at positions 355 to 776 of the family's 1533-position model. Lineage: Bacteria; Pseudomonadati; Acidobacteriota. The record is from RNAcentral.